GCCAGAGUAGCUCAGGGGUAGAGCAGAGGACUCAUAAGCCUUUGGUCGGGGGUUCAAUUCCCUCCUCUGGCACCA
This 75-nucleotide transfer RNA is filed under the name Pedosphaera sp. RNAcentral describes it as "tRNA-Met". It matches the Rfam family "tRNA". From Rfam's summary of the family: Transfer RNA (tRNA) molecules are approximately 80 nucleotides in length. Their secondary structure includes four short double-helical elements and three loops (D, anti-codon, and T loops). RNAcentral also lists the same sequence under 13 other names. The record is from RNAcentral. Lineage: Bacteria; Pseudomonadati; Verrucomicrobiota; Pedosphaerae; Pedosphaerales; Pedosphaeraceae.